AUGUCUACCUCAGAGGUUUCCGAGAGUGCCGAUUCCAUGGAUGAGGAUAUGAGUCAAGUACCACGUGUUAGAAGGUCCAAGGUGUGGGAGCAUUAUGAACAAGAUCUGGUUCGCAUACAUGGUGAUCUCAAGGCUGUGUGCAAAUAUUGUGGGACACAACUUCACACCAAGUUUGGGACUACGAGUUUGAGAACCCAUAUUGCAGAGUCUUGCAAAUCAAUUGAGGAUGGUUGCAGGAAGAAUUUUCUGUUGACUAUGAAAAAAACAAAUUCCGAAGGCCCAUUUGUGUUUGAUCAAAAAGUUUGCCGUGAUCUCAUGGUCAAGUUUUGCAUCCAUGCUGAGAUCCCCUUUCUUAAGUUUGAAGAUCCAUACCUUCAGCCAUGGAUUGACUCAAUGCAGCCAACAUUUCAAUUCGUGAUGAUGCAAUGA
This 429-nucleotide ribosomal RNA is filed under the name Triticum aestivum (bread wheat). RNAcentral describes it as "partial small subunit ribosomal RNA". Lineage: Eukaryota; Viridiplantae; Streptophyta; Magnoliopsida; Poales; Poaceae. The record is from RNAcentral.